CACUAGAAGAAAUGAUUUUUAGCAAUACCUGCCCAGUGCGACAUAUUACUGUAAACGGCCGCCCUAGCGUGAGGGUGCUAAGGUAGCGAAAUUCCUUGCCUUUUAAUUGUAGGCCUGCAUGAAUGGUUUAACGAGGGUUAAGCUGUCUCUAAGUUUAUAAGUUGAAAUUGUGUUAAAGGUGAAGAUACCUUUAUUUUGAAGUUAGACAAAAAGACCCCGUGCAACUUUGAAAAUUAGCUUUAUUAAAAGGUGAGAGAUUUUUAGGUGGGGCGCCUAGAGAGCUAGUUCUAACCUCUUUUACUGAGUUGUUAAAACUUUCAAGUCUUGACCCGGUUAUACCCGAUCAUAGGAGAAGUUACGCCGGGGAUAACAGGCUAAUCCUUUAGUAGAGCUCGUAUUGGCUAAAGGGAUUGGCACCUCGAUGUUGAAUCAGGGAUGAUACCUUUGAGGCGUAGAAGCUUCGAGAGUGGGUCUGUUCGACCUUUAAUACCCU
RNAcentral lists this ribosomal RNA (493 nucleotides) under Crassostrea sp. SC1. RNAcentral's name for it is "partial 16S ribosomal RNA". It matches the Rfam family "Bacterial large subunit ribosomal RNA", at positions 1832 to 2597 of the family's 2925-position model. The record is from RNAcentral. Lineage: Eukaryota; Metazoa; Mollusca; Bivalvia; Ostreida; Ostreidae.